AACGCACAUUGCGCCCUGUGGUAUUCCGCAGGGCAUGCCUGUUCGAGCGUCAUUUCAACCCUCAAGCUCUGCUUGGUGUUGGGCUCUGCCUGUGUGGCCGGCCCUAAAGUCAGUGGCGGUGCCGUGUAGGCUCUAAGCGUAGUACAUCUCUCGCUCUAGGGUCCCGUGGUAGCCUGCCAGAACCCCAACUCUUAUGGUUGACCUCGGAUCAGGUAGGGAUACCCGCUGAACUUAA
This 235-nucleotide unclassified non-coding RNA is filed under the name uncultured fungus. RNAcentral's name for it is "sequence contains ITS2". The stretch from base 1 to 52 matches the Rfam family "5.8S ribosomal RNA", at positions 103 to 154 of the family's 154-position model. The record is from RNAcentral. Lineage: Eukaryota; Fungi.